GACGAACGCUGGCGGCGUGCUUAACACAUGCAAGUCGAACGGAAAGGCCCUGCUUUUGUGGGGUGCUCGAGUGGCGAACGGGUGAGUAACACGUGAGUAACCUGCCCUUGACUUUGGGAUAACUUCAGGAAACUGGGGCUAAUACCGGAUAGGAGCUCCUGCUGCAUGGUGGGGGUUGGAAAGUUUCGGCGGUUGGGGAUGGACUCGCGGCUUAUCAGCUUGUUGGUGGGGUAGUGGCUUACCAAGGCUUUGACGGGUAGCCGGCCUGAGAGGGUGACCGGCCACAUAGGGACUGAGAUACGGCCCAGACUCCUACCGGAGGAAGCAGUGGGGAAUAUUGCACAAUGGGCGGAAGCCUGAUGCAGCAACGCCGCGUGCGGGAUGACGGCCUUCGGGUUGUAAACCGCUUUCGCCUGUGACGAAGCGUGAGUGACGGUAAUGGGUAAAGAAGCACCGGCUAACUACGUG
RNAcentral lists this ribosomal RNA (468 nucleotides) under uncultured bacterium. RNAcentral describes it as "partial 16S ribosomal RNA". It matches the Rfam family "Bacterial small subunit ribosomal RNA", at positions 28 to 507 of the family's 1533-position model. The record is from RNAcentral.